GACGAGCGCUGGCGGCGUGCUUAACACAUGCAAGUCGAACGGAAAGGCCUCUUUCGGGGGGUACUCGAGUGGCGAACGGGUGAGUAACACGUGAGUAACCUGCCCUUGACUUUGGGAUAACUUCAGGAAACUGGGGCUAAUACCGGAUAGGAGCUCCUGCUGCAUGGUGGGGGUUGGAAAGUUUCGGCGGUUGGGGAUGGACUCGCGGCUUAUCAGCUUGUUGGUGGGGUAGUGGCUUACCAAGGCUUUGACGGGUAGCCGGCCUGAGAGGGUGACCGGCCACAUUGGGACUGAGAUACGGCCCAGACUCCUACGGGAGGCAGCAGUGGGGAAUACUGCACAAUGGGUGGAAGCCUGAUGCAGCAACGCCGUGUGCGGGAUGACGGCCUUCGGGUUGUAAACCGCUUUCGCUCAUGACGAAGCUUUGUGUGACGGUAGUGGGUAAAGAAGCACCGGCUAACUACGUG
Molecule: ribosomal RNA, 467 nt
Filed under: uncultured bacterium
Lineage: Bacteria
Description: partial 16S ribosomal RNA
Rfam family: Bacterial small subunit ribosomal RNA
Source: RNAcentral